AACUCUCAACCCCGCCUCAUGCUUUAUUGCGUGUGGGUAGCUUGGGCUUGGAUCAUGAUCUUUGCAGUAAUGCGCUAGCAGAACUGCUGGAUUGAAAUACAACAAGCUGAAUCUAUAUACUUGCGGCUUGACCUGUCGUUGUAAGCACACAAAUGCAUUCGAUGGGGACGCGAGAAAAUGGAAUGAGCUUUCCAAAUGUGUUACACUUUGCAGCUUCUAUUAACUUAGAGCUCUUAGUGCA
This 241-nucleotide unclassified non-coding RNA is filed under the name uncultured Sterigmatomyces. Its description in RNAcentral is "sequence contains ITS2". Lineage: Eukaryota; Fungi; Basidiomycota; Agaricostilbomycetes. The record is from RNAcentral.